RNAcentral lists this ribosomal RNA (442 nucleotides) under uncultured bacterium. Its description in RNAcentral is "partial 16S ribosomal RNA". It matches the Rfam family "Bacterial small subunit ribosomal RNA", at positions 338 to 795 of the family's 1533-position model. The record is from RNAcentral.
CCUACGGGAGGCAGCAGUGGGGGAUAUUGCACAAUGGGGGGAACCCUGAUGCAGCGACGCCGCGUGAGUGAAGAAGUAAUUCGGUAUGUAAAGCUCUAUCAGCAGGGAAGAAUAAAUGACGGUAACUGAGUAAGAAGCCCCGGCUAACUACGUGCCAGCAGCGGCGGUAAUACGUAGGGGGCAAGCGUUAUCCGGAUUUACUGGGUGUAAAGGGUGCGUAGACGGGGAUGCAAGCCAGAUGUGAAAGCCCGGGGCUCAACUGCGGUAGUGCAUUUGGAACUGUAUGGCUGGAGUGCCGGAGAGGCAGGCGGAAGUCCUAUGGUAGCGGUGAAAGGCGUAGAUAUUAGGAGGACCACCAGUGGCGAAGGCGGACUGCUGGACUGUAACUGACGUGGAGGAUCGAAAGCGUGGGGAGCAAACAGGAUUAGAUACCCUUGUAGUC